Molecule: non-coding RNA, 4304 nt
Organism: Delphinapterus leucas (beluga whale)
Lineage: Eukaryota; Metazoa; Chordata; Mammalia; Artiodactyla; Monodontidae
Source: RefSeq, a predicted model, not a curated record
UUCUGAGUUGGGUUCAUUUAAUUUUUUCCCUUGUUUUUAGUAUAAGUAUUUUGAGGCAGUGAACUUUUCUCUGACUGCUGCUUUAUCUGUACCCAUAGAUUCUGAUAUGUAAUGUUUUCAUUAUUAUUAUUGUCUAGAAAUUCAGCAAUUUUGGUUUGAGUUUGCCCUUUGACCCAAGAAUUGUUUGACAGAGAGUUUUUAUAUAUUCAGAUGGAAGAUCUUUUUUACAUUGAUUUCUACUUUUAUCCAGGUGUGAUCAGAGAACAUUGUCAGUAUUAGUUCUACCUUUUGGAAUUUAUUGAGAUUUUCUUCUUGGCCUAAUAUUGAUUUUGUUGUUUAGGUUUUCUGUAUUCUUACUGGGUUUUUGUUGCUGUUGUUGUUCAUUUGAUCUGUCCUGGAAUGAGAAAGUAUUAAACAAGACUUCCAGUUCUAUGUUAAACAGUAGUUGGUGAGGGUAAGUAUCUAGUCUUAACCUUCAAGGAAAUGCAUCUUAAGUUUCUCCAUUUUCUGCAAAGUAUGCUGUAAAAUUUUGGUAUGUAACCUUCACCAAGUUAAGAAAUUUGCCUUCUAUUCAUAUUUUUUAAAGCGUUUUCAUCAUAAGUAGGCAUGUAACAUAAUUUUUCUAUAUUAAUUGAGAUACUCAUAUAAUUAUUCUCCCUUAGUCUAUUCAUGUGGUAAAUUACAUUGAUAGAUUUUUCUGAGUUUGAAUGCAUUCUCCUUGCAUUCUUGGAAUUAACUCCAUUUGAUUGUGAUGUAUUUUUUAAAUACUGUUGGAUUCAAUUAGCUAAUAUUUAAUUUACGAUUUAUGCAUCUAUAUUCAUAAGUGAAAUGAGCCUAUAAUUUUCUUUAAUUGUCCUUAUCUGUUUUUAAAAUCAAGACUUCAAGAUUUUACUAGACAAAUAAAAUGAGCUAGGCAGCUUUCUCUCCUUUUCUAUUUUCUGGAAUAACUUGUAUAAGAAGAGAAGUAACUCCUGAGAGUCCCACACACUAUACCUGUAAAUCCAUCUGGGCCUGGAUUUGGGGGGAAGCGAUGUCCUUACCUACCAUUUCAGUUUCAUUAAUGCCUAGUGGUCUAUUCACGUUCUCUACUUCCUAUGCCAUGUUUAUCAUUUUAUAUUUUUCUAGGAAAAAAAACUUUAUCUAGAUGUUUCCAAUUAUUUCUGUCUAGUACCUAGCAGUCAGGUUUCUGGCUUGAGUACUUGGUGGUGCCUUCACAGAGAGGGGGGCACAAGAGGAGCAGCAUGUCUGUUAUUUGGGGGCCAGAGGAAGUUUGGCUACCUCUACACUUUCAGCAAAGCAAUGGCUAUAUGUGAUUCUCUGUUGCUUUGGAUAUUUGUGAUUAUGUAUGAAUGUGCACACUUCUAUAAAGGUGUGUUUUUUAUACAUGAUGCUCUGGUGUGUUUCUGUUUAUAUGAAAAUGUCAGGCUGAAAAAGAACAAUUUUUCUAUGUAAUUAUUUUUCUGUAUCUGUUUGCAUGGGUCCGUGAGCUGUGAUGGGGGUAUUUCCAUGGUUCUCUCAAUGUCCCUGUGUACAUCAGCAUCUCUGCCAGCUGGUAAUUCAUUCUGUGUGCUUUUCCAUGUCUUGGAGUGUCUGCAACUGUGAGGGUUCUUGAUUCUAUGUGUAUCUAUAUGUCUCUGCACAUGUCUGCAUCUCUGAGGGUGGGGGAUUAUGUAUGCAUCUCUGUGUUUUACUGUAGAAAUAUAUGUAUGCAGUGCACAUGCUACGUGGCAAGUUCAGACUCUCCAAGUCUGGAAGAAACAUUACAACAGGAAAUGCUCUGGAUUCCAGCUUCCGGAUGGAAUUUCACUCAGAAAAAUACCCCUUCCUGGUCCUCCCAAUAACUGCAGCAUUCUUUGUCUUUCUUGAAGAGGCUGAGUUGAGGGGGUUUGUGCUAACCUUGACCUCAGAGGCCACGUCGUUCAGGAGGAUUUGGCAGAGCCAUGAAAUUCCACACCCUGCCACUUGCCUCUUGCCAGGCCUACUGCUUCCUCCUAAACCCUUUUAUAGCUCCACAUUAUCUACCAGACCAAUUCCAAUCUAAAUUGUCCAGAGAGGCCAGAAGAAGACACAGGGAGAUGAGGAGAAAGAAACAGAAUAAGAUUUUUAUAAAGAAAUAGAUAAACAAAGAUAGAUAUGGGAACGGGGGAUAGAGAAUUGAGAACAAGGAUAUAAAGAGACAGAGACCAAGAAAUAGGGCCUGAAUGGUAGGAACAGAUAGUCAGAAAUGGUGAUAAAGAAGCAAAGAAGUUUGGGGACAGAGAGAUGUACAGACAGAUGGAAUGGGCAGGGUAGAAAAAGAGGGACUGACAGAAAUGAGGCUGGAAUGUAGGGAGAGAGAGAGAUGGGGACAGAGACACAGAUUGGGGUCAGAAAGGCAGUUACAUAAAACAUGAGGAUAGAGACACAGAGAUGAUAACAGCCAGGUGGAUAGAGAGAGACACAGAGAUGAUAACAGCCAGGUAGAUAAAGAGAGUGACUGGGAUUAGAUAGACAAAGAUAGAAACGGAGAUGGUGUUGAGGAGGAAGAGGUUGAUGAUAUAGAAGCUAAUAUUUUUUAACUGAAGUAUAGUUGAUUUACAAUGUUUCAGGUGUACAGCAAAGUGAUUCAAUUAUAUAUAUAUGUAAAUAUAUAGGUAUAUAUAGUCUUUUUCAUAUUCUUUUCCAUUAUAGGUUAUUACAAAAUAUUGAAUACAGUUCCCUGUGCUAUAGUAGGUCCUUGUUAUUUAUUUUUAGGAGCUAAUAAUAUUUUUGAGCAUUUCUUAUAUUUGAGGCAUGGUUCUGUAAGCUGUACAUGUGUUAGUUCAUUUAAUGCUCUUGGUAACACUGAAGCAGGUACUGUUAUCAGCCCUGUUUUACAGAUGAGGACACUGAGGCACAGCAAGUCAGCAGCACAACUAGGAUUGGAAUCCAGACAAUCUAACACCAGAGGCCAUACUCUUGACUACUCUGUCAGUGACAGAGAUACAGACAGACAGGGAUCUGGGGACAAGAUGGCAAACAGAUGAAACACACAUAGGGACAGAAAGAUGGAAACAAGAGACAGGCACAUGAGGAGAGCCACCCAGCAAGAGAGAUGGUAACAGAGGUAGAAAAGGGGUGAUAGAUGAGGAGAGACUCAAAGAGGGAAACAAGGGCAAGAAGACCAACAUAGGGGUAUGUGUGUGAGAGAGAAACAAAGAGAAUGUAAAUGUUAGUUGUGAGGGGGUGGGAGGCUGGGGUGAAGACAGAGACUGGAACAGAAAGGUGAGAAUAGAAAUAGAGAAAGAUAGGUGGGGAACAGAGACGGAUGAAUGCAGCAACAUAAAUACAAAGAUGAGAACUGGGAGACAGGCAGAGAUAAGAUAAAUAGGUACAGAGUGAUGGAGACAGAGGGGUGGACAGAAAAAAGGCCAAGGAGCCAAAGGAAAUUGAAAGAGAAGCAGAAAAGACAAAUUUUGGAACACAGAUUCAGAAACAGAUGAGGUAGAGUAAUAUGGUAUUAUAUAUGUGAGGAUGGAGACACAGACCAAGAGGAGAACCAUAAGUUAGAUGGGGACAGGAUGGAGACAAGGCAACCCCCAACAGAGGCAAUGGAGAGAGAGUGAGAGCAAGAGCAAGAAGGGGAGAGAUUGAGAGAGAAUAGGAGAGAUAGGAAAGAGAAACCACCAGAGAGAUGUAAACAGAAAGACAAGAGAGAGCAAAAUAAGAGAGAUGGGAGACAUCUGAAAGGUGGUGACAGUGAUGGUGAACUGGGGUGACAGUAAAAAAAAGAAAUAGAGGCACAGAAGGAAAUAAUUUUGAUUCAACAACCACUCACAAGUCUUGGAUAUAUCAGGGCUGGCACUGGGCUGUGUGGUACCCAAUAGGCUGUGAGCUCAGGAAGGCAGGGCCUGGGACUUUGUUAUGCAAUACUGUAUCCUCCACCUACAGUAUACUCCCAAUCAUGUGGAGGGCUACCAUUUAUUAAACAUUAGGUACUGGGGACUGUGCAUGCGUUUCAUGGAUUAUGUUAUUGAAUCCUCACAACUCUGAUGUAGUAGGUAUUAUUAUCAUCCCCAGUUUACAGAUGGGGAAACUGAGACUUAGAGCAAUGAGUAACUUACCCAGGGUCACACAGAGGAGCUAGGAGUGAAGCCCCAGCCUGGACCAAUGGUAGAGUAUGUCAUGAACCAAGGAUUAGGAUGAACCCUGUUCUUUCUGUACACCCAAUGUGCAAAAAAUCAAAUUCCAGUCUGCCUGCCUCCAAGGCCUACAUGUUUGACCACCAUACCACACUGCUCCAGUGAAGACUCACUCACAGACUGAUGGAAGACUGCUGAACCAAG